CGCUAUCACUCUCUCAUUCUCCUCCACUGGUACCACUCCUCACCACCUCCACCACCAUUUUUCUGGCAAGAUCACCGGAAAACUCCUUAGGAAAAAGGGAAUGAUGAUAAUGCCAAUUAUUCACUCCCACCACCAAGUGAAACCUAGCAGAGGGUGUGGUUUCCUUCAAAGAGAAGUGCUCCUUUGUCGUCUGUUGGACAAGUUACGCAUUAUGUGAAAAUAUGUUGAAGAAGUUAAUGGUGGUCAUUGCAAUGGAAUGAUUUGGGAGAGUUGCAGACUAUGGCCUGGACUUCAGGAGGUUCACUCUUUAUUUCUCAAGGGAGUAAUUGAAUUCAUGUUUGAGUAAAGCAAAUGACACAGAAAUUUUUACUGCAAUGCGUGGAGAAUUUGGCAACCAAAAAUCAACAAUGGACUGAAAUUACAGAGCAUCCACUAUGGUCCAUGGAGCAUCUCACUGUGGGCACAAGAAUACUUGAUUGAGUACACUAGAUAAAGAAACAUUGCAAAUUAAUUUAUUCUUUUUUUUUUUUGGUUUAGUUUCAGUGAAAGCCAAUAAAAUACAGAGUAAUUGGGUGUGAUGUAGAUGUAGGGAAAUCAUAUUUCCGGUAAAGUUGUGUUAUUUUAUAUUUAUUUUGUUACAAUUUUAAUUAUUCCACACUACUAGAAUUUUGUCUGUUUGAUUUGUU
Quercus lobata is the source of this 686-nucleotide long non-coding RNA. RefSeq lists it as uncharacterized. NCBI's taxonomy places the organism in Eukaryota, Viridiplantae, Streptophyta, Magnoliopsida, Fagales, Fagaceae. The transcript has 4 exons. The record is from RefSeq and is a predicted model, not a curated record.